RNAcentral lists this ribosomal RNA (199 nucleotides) under Agaricus pocillator. RNAcentral describes it as "partial 25S large subunit ribosomal RNA". It matches the Rfam family "Eukaryotic large subunit ribosomal RNA", at positions 1922 to 2122 of the family's 3401-position model. The record is from RNAcentral. Lineage: Eukaryota; Fungi; Basidiomycota; Agaricomycetes; Agaricales; Agaricaceae.
AUAGAUCCGUAACUUCGGGAAAAGGAUUGGCUCUAAGGGUUGGGUGUGUCGGGCCUUGACUGGAAGCCUCGGGACCCAGCUGGGACUGCUUGGGGGGCAACCUCUGGGUGGACCUGGCCAGGACCUGGGUGUGGAUGGUCUUGGCUGCCCUUACGGGGCGUCCGGCGCACGCUUAACAACCGACUUAGAACUGGUACGG